Non-coding RNA from Podarcis lilfordi (Lilford's wall lizard), 3447 nucleotides. The record is from the annotation of a GenBank genome assembly. NCBI's taxonomy places the organism in Eukaryota, Metazoa, Chordata, Lepidosauria, Squamata, Lacertidae.
CAGAGCAGCUGGGUAGAGACCGCCUCUGCCGUCUCCGUCACAACAAUGACGAUCAGGACAGAAUAAGAAGAUCAGGGCGGACAGGUUCUUUCGUCCUGACUGUUGACGUUGUCAGGGGCCAUGCUUUUCUUAUUCUUGCUUCACUUUUCCUUCCUCCUCUGAAGUGAAGGGGUGGAUUCCAAAAACCUUUUUAAAAAGCCCACAACUGUAGGCAGUCACGUUGUUUCAUUGGGGGAGAUCCAAAAAUAACAAGAGUAAUAAUGUAUUGGGGCCAAUAAAAGAGCGCAGAGCAGUGAGCAAGCUUUCCAGUUGAUGUAAACUUCAAGAGAAUUUUAUCUGAUUGGAUUAGGCAAAUGAAGGGGCAAGGAGAGGACAUGAUGAAAAAGUCCGCCAAAUUAAAACAGACAAAGAUUAAGUGUGAGGUAUUGGUUGUGUUUAGAAUAGAUUUAUGAAAGAUUUAGAAAAUUUAUGGAUUAGAAUAUUUGUGUGAGAUUGUAUGGGGAAAAUACGGAAUAACAGAUACAAUCUUGCUUAAAAUGUAUAUAGGAAGUGCAGUGUAAGCCUUGAUGGAAGUCAAUCAAUGAAAUUUUAUUAUUGAGAUAUUUGUAGAAUAAAUUUGGAAGAAAUUCUUCCAACUUUUCUUCUUUUUCUCAUUUUUUUUCUUUUCUUCCUUUUUUCCUUUUUGUUCUUUUUUAUAUAUGUGUGUUUAUCUGAAAUAUAUAUGUAUUUGCAAUAUUUUGCUUAUAUUUUGUAAUAAUUAAGUUAAAUUAAUAUUUUUAAAACAGCAUUAAAAUGUUACAUUGACUAAAACAGCAAUCCUAGCUUGCUUAAACAUAAUAGCACUUGCUUCAGAGAAUAUGUGCAUAGGAUUGGGGUCUAAUUAGGCUAGUUUUGCUUUGUGCAAAAAGCUUUCAGAUUGAAGUAAAGGCUACCAGUGUAGAAUAGUAAGAACUAGCAGUUUUUCGGUUUGUAUGGUUCACUCUCACUGUUGUCUUUGGUGCAACCUAGUAGUAGUAGUAGUUUGGAUUUGAUAUCCCGCCUUUCACUCCCUUUAAGGAGUCUCAAAGCGGCUAACAUCCUCCUUUCCCUUCCUCCCCCACAACAAACACUCUGUGAGGUGAGUGGGGCUGAGAGACUUCAAAGAAGUGUGACUGGCCCAAGGUCACCCAGCAGCUGCAUGUGGAGGAGCGGGGAAUCGAACCCGGUUCCCCAGAUUACGAGUCCACCGCUCUUAACCACUACACCACACUGGCUCUCGUCAUUUUUGCACCAAAUGCAGCCUAACCUAAGGUGGCAGUCAUAUACACAUUUACUUAUAAACUCUACGUGACUUAUCCUCUGCCCUACUCCUCUGCCCUACUCAUGCAUGCAUAGUGUUAUCCGUUUCACUCCUCUCCCCCAUUUCUUUUUGCAGAUCAUCCAGCCUGCUGAAGGGUCUUGAGGAUCUCAAAAGCUUGCACUUCUUUUCGCCCUAAUGAAGGUGUCGUUCUUUAUGGUCUGAUCAGUGUUGAAAAAAUUGAAAGCUUGCUAAUUCCCACCACUUCUAAGCCAAAAGCUAUUCCGAGGCCUCCGGAGUGGAGGCAACAUGCCUCUUCCUCUCUUGUCUCCUGGCCUUUUUCAGGAGGGCCCAAGGAAAGAGGUGUCCUGCUUCCUUCUCCUCCCACCCACUCGUGUACAUGAAAUUUAUUAUGGUCAGAGACCAGCUUGUGAAACACAAAUGGAACUACAAUCCCAGAAGCAAACAAACACUCAUGUGUUCCUGUUGCUUCUUUAUAUAAUAAAGUGAUAAAAUGCUGAAUUCCAGCGAGUGAUUAAUCAUGGACACCAUUCCCAAAUAAAGGAGACAUUGUGGGACAGAGAUAAAUAAAGGAUGCCCUGUGUAUCCCACUGUUGAAAUGCUGUCUCCUUGAACUUUAUCCCAUAGAACUCAGUGGAUGCCAUUAAGCAGUAAGCCACUUCCUAUUGGCAUGCACCCACUCUGUUUUAACACAUUUUUCGUUGCCUCUUAACCUUAGGGGGAGGUCUUCACUAGGUUUUACUCAGCAUAGAAAUUAAUCAACAUGACUAAGUUAGGUCCAUUAAGUAAAAGUUAGCUGUUUUCUGAACCCCUAGGUAGUAAUCAAUUAACAGUUGCCCAUCAUCAGCCUAGGGCAGGCAAUUAAGAUUAGCAACUCCGAAAACAGUUUCUAAAAAGGAUAUCCUCUAUCCCAUGAAUGUUUACAUUCAGAUUUAAUUGAUAAAGUUCAGCAAAACGGGUGAUACCAAAACUUUUUAUAUGAAGAGUUGGCAUUUUUACCAGAAUCAGCUGUUGAUUAUGGCAUGACUGGGGGGUUGAGGCACCUUGCUGGAAAGACUCCAGGCUAUUUGUAUUUACCAGUAAGUUAACAAUGAGUAUGACUUCAAGAACAGAGAAGAUUGAUUGGCAAGACAAUAAACACACUUCUGUCUAUGAGUCUUCUAGCAUUCAAUUUCUUUUGGACUACUUUGAAGGAAUCUAGGCUGUACUGAGUCUCCCUUUGCUUCUAGAAGGGUAUUAGAUAAUUGUAUGCAAUGAUACAAAGGUAUUAUAUUCCUUUGUGGAUCCUGCUUUGCAUUUUUUAAUCCAUAGCAGACUGGUAUAUACCAAAAUUAAUGAAGCAAUUCAGAGUGUGAUACAUGAGCAGUUCCCCAUUGUAGUUUCCUUAAUUGUAUAUGCCAUUUGUGUAUGUUGCGUAAUGUUACAAUUGUGUCACAUUAAGACUGCAGUCCUAUACAGUUAUUCUGUUGAACACAAUAGGACUUCUGAAUUAACACGUACCUCAUCAGGCAAUCUUUACUCCUACUUCUGGCCUUGUAGUGAAAUUGUAUCAGGUAGUUACGGGUGCCUCACCUGUUUUAGUACUGAACAUUUUUGAGUGUAAGGCAGUCCUGGUACAGAUGUGAAUUGUUGUGUUUCCAAUUCUAUAAAAUGCUUUACAGACUCAACACCAUUUGACUACAUUAACUUUCAACUUCACCUUACAGUAAGGUGAUACAUGAAGAUGAAAGAACAGUACAGUCUUCAAGAUUCCUUGGUACCAAUAUUCAAAUCUGUUUACUCCAAGUAAAGUGGUUUGGCAAUUGCCAUUACUGGCUUGGUAGGUGGUAGGCACAGCCUUGUCAACCAUGGCAGAAUUUCUAAAGCUGGAUGAAUAGAGCUUCUUCUUCCAGCCAGAAUGUGGAUGAUAUAACAAGAUACAAGAACAAUGAGCCCCUUUAGACAAACUGGAAUGGACCGUUGCCAGUCCCACAGCUGAAUCCUGCUGUUUGGAAAGAAGCAUUUUGCUGUUUCCUCAUUUCACAUUCACGAACCAGCGAUGUAAAAGGUUUACCAUAAGUGAAUCGCCAGUGUUCUUACAUAAAAUUAUAUGUUGAUAGUUCCACUUUGUGUUUGGAGUAGCACAUUCCCAAUGGUUAAGGAAAAGGGUG